This 450-nucleotide ribosomal RNA is filed under the name uncultured bacterium. RNAcentral describes it as "partial 16S ribosomal RNA". It matches the Rfam family "Bacterial small subunit ribosomal RNA", at positions 354 to 796 of the family's 1533-position model. The record is from RNAcentral.
GUGGGGAAUUUUGGACAAUGGGCGCAAGCCUGAUCCAGCAAUGCCGCGUGCAGGAAGAAGGCCUUCGGGUUGUAAACUGCUUUUGUACGGAACGAAACGGUCCGGGUUAAUACCCUGGGCUAAUGACGGUACCGUAAGAAUAAGCACCGGCUAACUACGUGCCAGCAGCCGCGGUAAUACGUAGGGUGCAAGCGUUAAUCGGAAUUACUGGGCGUAAAGCGUGCGCAGGCGGUUUUGUAAGACAGGCGCGAAAUCACCGGGCUCAACCUGGGAAUUGCUCUUGUGACUGCAAGGCUGGAGUGCGGCAGAGGGGGAUGGAAUUCCGCGUGUAGCAGUGAAAUGCGUAGAUAUGCGGAGGAACACCGAUGGCGAAGGCAAUCCCCUGGGCCUGCACUGACGCUCAUGCACGAAAGCGUGGGGAGCAAACAGGAUUAGAAACCCUUGUAGUCC